GGGGGAAUAGCUCAGUUGUAGAGUGUGUGCUUAGCAUGCAUGAGGUCAUGAGUUCGAUCCCCAGUACCUUCC
RNAcentral lists this transfer RNA (72 nucleotides) under Camelus bactrianus (Bactrian camel). It matches the Rfam family "tRNA". From Rfam's summary of the family: Transfer RNA (tRNA) molecules are approximately 80 nucleotides in length. Their secondary structure includes four short double-helical elements and three loops (D, anti-codon, and T loops). Further hydrogen bonds mediate the characteristic L-shaped molecular structure. tRNAs have two regions of fundamental functional importance: the anti-codon, which is responsible for specific mRNA codon recognition, and the 3' end, to which the tRNAs corresponding amino acid is attached (by aminoacyl-tRNA synthetases). tRNAs cope with the degeneracy of the genetic code in two manners: having more than one tRNA (with a specific anti-codon) for a particular amino acid; and 'wobble' base-pairing, i.e. permitting non-standard base-pairing at the 3rd anti-codon position. RNAcentral also lists the same sequence under 1 other name. The record is from Rfam by way of RNAcentral. Lineage: Eukaryota; Metazoa; Chordata; Mammalia; Artiodactyla; Camelidae.